Triticum urartu is the source of this 410-nucleotide non-coding RNA. The record is from RefSeq and is a predicted model, not a curated record. NCBI's taxonomy places the organism in Eukaryota, Viridiplantae, Streptophyta, Magnoliopsida, Poales, Poaceae.
AAUCAGCCGCCGUCGCAAGACCUUCCACAGCUAGACCUUGACGGCGCCAGCCGUAUGGACAUCCAGCUCAACGAUCUUUCAAAAUGGUUAUUCAUGUCUGGUUGCGUCUGGCGGGCAACGCGCGGCAAGUCGUGCCACCUAUAAUUGAAGCAUCGUUCAUGGUCAGGCUAGAACUACAUAAUAUUGUUGCUCGAACUGCAGCCAGCAGGUGCUUUUCUUCUCCUCCUCAAGCUUCGGCAAGAAUAUACUACACAUAUAUAGUAGCUGAGAAAGCAUGACAUGCCAUAAUUUGUUGUCCUUUUGUAUCUUCAUACACUGUAUCUUCCUUUUUCAUGACCCAAAAAUAGCUGGGAAAGAAUGACAUCCAUAAUUAAAUCGCAAAAAAAGAAUGACAUCCAUAAUUUGUUUUC